This 408-nucleotide ribosomal RNA is filed under the name uncultured bacterium. RNAcentral's name for it is "bacterial SSU rRNA". It matches the Rfam family "Bacterial small subunit ribosomal RNA", at positions 30 to 450 of the family's 1533-position model. The record is from RNAcentral.
AUUGAACGCUGGCGGCAGGCUUAACACAUGCAAGUCGAACGGAACCUUCGGGUUUAGUGGCGAACGGGUGAGUAAUACCUAGGAAUCUGCCUAUUAGUGGGGGAUAACGGCUCGAAAGGGUCGCUAAUACCGCAUACGUCCUACGGGAGAAAGAGGGGGAUCUUCGGACCUCUUGCUAAUAGAUGAGCCUAGGCCGGAUUAGCUAGUUGGUAGGGUAAAGGCCUACCAAGGCGACGAUCCGUAGCUGGUCUGAGAGGAUGAUCAGCCACACUGGAACUGAGACACGGUCCAGACUCCUACGGGAGGCAGCAGUGGGGAAUAUUGGACAAUGGGGGCAACCCUGAUCCAGCCAUGCCGCGUGUGUGAAGAAGGCCUCGGGUUGUAAGACGACUUAAGUACGAGGAGGAA